UACGUAGGGUGCGAGCGUUAAUCGGAAUUACUGGGCGUAAAGCGUGCGCAGGCGGCUUCGCAAGUCAGACGUGAAAGCCCCGGGCUUAACCUGGGAAUGGCGUUUGAAACUACGGAGCUGGAGUGUGGCAGAGGGAGGUAGAAUUCCACGUGUAGCGGUGAAAUGCGUAGAUAUGUGGAGGAAUACCGAUGGCGAAGGCAGCCUCCUGGGCCAACACUGACGCUCAUGCACGAAAGCGUGGGGAGCAAACAGG
RNAcentral lists this ribosomal RNA (253 nucleotides) under uncultured bacterium. RNAcentral's name for it is "partial 16S ribosomal RNA". It matches the Rfam family "Bacterial small subunit ribosomal RNA", at positions 524 to 776 of the family's 1533-position model. The record is from RNAcentral.